GAUGAACGCUGGCGGCGUGCCUAAUACAUGCAAGUCGAGCGAACAGACGAGGAGCUUGCUCCUCUGACGUUAGCGGCGGACGGGUGAGUAACACGUGGAUAACCUACCUAUAAGACUUGGAUAACUUCGGGAAACCGGAGCUAAUACCGGAUAAUAUAUUGAACCGCAUGGUUCAAUAGUGAAAGACGGUUUUGCUGUCACUUAUAGAUGGAUCCGCGCCGCAUUAGCUAGUUGGUAAGGUAACGGCUUACCAAGGCAACGAUGCGUAGCCGACCUGAGAGGGUGAUCGGCCACACUGGAACUGAGACACGGUCCAGACUCCUACGGGAGGCAGAAGUAGGGAAUCUUCCGCAAUGGGCGAAAGCCUGAAGGAGCAACGCAGCGUGAGUGAUGAAGGUCUUCGGAUCGUAAAACUCUGUUAUUAGGGAAGAACAAAUGUGUAAGUAACUAUGCACGUCGUGACGGUACCUAAUCAGAAAGCCACGGCUAACUACGUG
RNAcentral lists this ribosomal RNA (497 nucleotides) under uncultured bacterium. RNAcentral describes it as "partial 16S ribosomal RNA". It matches the Rfam family "Bacterial small subunit ribosomal RNA", at positions 28 to 507 of the family's 1533-position model. The record is from RNAcentral.